Molecule: long non-coding RNA, 607 nt
Organism: Solea senegalensis (Senegalese sole)
Lineage: Eukaryota; Metazoa; Chordata; Actinopteri; Pleuronectiformes; Soleidae
Exons: 4
Source: RefSeq, a predicted model, not a curated record
GGCGGCUGCGAAUCUCCAAGAUCUCCUACAAAAUGUGAUUCAACCACCAAAGGCCGAUAGCCAAUGCUGUUCUCGGAGUGUCUGCACCUGGUUCUCCAUGUCCACCCUCCUCAGGAUCUCUGAGGUCAGCUGGUUCCUGGUGUCCGAUAGAACGCCCUCUACCUGGACACACAGAACCUCGUCAAAAAAUAUAGAACACCACGCUCCACACUGCAUCUACACCACGACUGGCUCGGUCGGUGAAGUCUUCCUGCAGUGUUCUGUUUUCAGACGUCAGCUUGCUGCAUUCAACAUCCUUGGAGCUAAGAGACGCCUCGACUUUCCUCCACUGAGCCAACGCGUUCGCCAGGUCGCUCUCCUUCUUCUGGAACCUGCAGAGUAAAAGGAGAUUCCCGUAGUCGAUCUGCAGGCGGGCCUUCUCCCCGGCCAGGCCAUCCAGGCACUUUCUCACGUCGGCCAACUCCUCCUCGUACAACCGCCGCACGUUGCUCAUCUCCCGGCUUUUCGAUUCAUCCUUCUCCUCCAGCAGCACCAGCAUGGAGGCCCGCUCGCUCUCCAGCUCCUGGACCCGCUGGAUGUAGUUGGCGAGGCGGUCGUUGAGCUGCCG